GCACUGCUGAGGAGUCUCAUCCUAGGACGAAACGACCGUCCAGUGC
Molecule: non-coding RNA, 46 nt
Organism: Schistosoma margrebowiei
Lineage: Eukaryota; Metazoa; Platyhelminthes; Trematoda; Strigeidida; Schistosomatidae
Source: Rfam